RNA transcript from Grus americana (Whooping crane), 2270 nucleotides. It is a transcript of the gene named RNA polymerase I and III subunit C, with no coding region annotated. The transcript has 10 exons. NCBI's taxonomy places the organism in Eukaryota, Metazoa, Chordata, Aves, Gruiformes, Gruidae. The record is from RefSeq and is a predicted model, not a curated record.
GCGCAGCAGCAUGGGGCAACGACGAGACAGCGAGUGGGGUUGGCGAGGCGGGCGGAAGGGAUGCGCUGCUGCAGGGACACCGGGUCGGCCGGCCACAGGCGAGCGCUGCUCUUCCCGGUAGCGAAGAGGCCACGCGUGGGCGGGCAGAGGCCCGUCACGUGCCGGGGAGCGCCGCCCCCUCCCCCCCCCCCCCCCGUUGGCGGCGGCGGCCAUGGCGGCCAAGAGGGGCACAGACGAGAUGCGGGACCGCGUGGUGCUGGGCGAGUUCGGCGUCCGCAACGUCCACACCACCGACUUCCCCGGCAACUACCCCGGCUACGAGGACGCCUGGGACCAGCGGCGCUUCGAGGAGGCGUUCCGCGUGGACAUAAUCCGCGAGGAGGAGGGCGCGCUGGAGUUCGACAUGGUGGGCAUCGACGCCGCCAUCGCCAACGCCUUCCGCCGCAUCCUGCUCGCCGAGGUGCCAACGAUGGCUGUAGAGAAAGUCUUUGUGUACAACAACACAUCCAUUGUGCAGGAUGAAAUUCUGGCUCAUCGGUUGGGCCUCAUCCCUAUCCGAGCUGACCCUCGACUCUUCGAAUAUAGAAACCAAGGAGAUGAAGAAGGCACAGAAAUUGAUACUCUGCAGUUCCAGCUGAAAAUAAAAUGUAGCCGAAACCCUCAGGCAGCCAAGGAAUCAUCUGAUCCUAAUGAACUAUAUUUCAAUCACAAAGUGUACAGUAAACAUAUGACAUGGGUGCCCUUGGGGAAUCAGACAGAGCUCUUUCCAGAUGCUGACUUCCGACCUGUUCAUGAUGACAUCCUCAUCGCACUAUUGCGACCUGGCCAGGAAAUAGAUGUGCUUAUGCAUUGUGUCAAAGGUAUAGGUAAAGAUCAUGCCAAGUUUUCUCCUGUGGCCACGGCUAGUUAUCGACUGCUUCCUGACAUUACUCUCCUGCAGCCUGUUGAGGAUGAGGCAGCUGAGGUGUUGCAGAAGUGCUUUUCCCCUGGAGUCAUUGAGAUCCAGAACAUCAAAGGAAAAAAGGUGGCAAGAGUAGCCAAUGCACGGUUGGACACGUUCAGCAGAGAAGUUUUCCGUCACGAGGGUCUGAAAAACCUUGUGCGCCUGGCAAGAGUGCGAAACCAUUACAUCUGUCUAUGUUCACAGUCCGGGCAACCUCGAUGCAGUGAUGUCUGCCUGAGUUUGCAGAGAGUCUGAGUUAGCUCCGAAAUGGCAACUACCCCAUUUCUCUCUGCAAGUGUUAAAUACUUCCCUGCUCACUGCACGUGAGGAAGGCAAGUAUGUAACUUACAGUUCAUGGGUCCAGUAUCAACAGGAGCUGUGAGUUGGUACUUCAGCCAUUCACCGGCCAUCUGGAAGCCAGUUCGAGGGUCCAGACGACAAGCCAUCCUCAUCACCUCUCCUUGCUGGGCUCGGAAAGCUGCAGUGAAAAAAUCAGACACCAUGCAACAAGCUGAUGCUGCGAACACUCCCUUCCCCAAAGCUCACCCGCAGCUUUGCAGCCCUGGGAACAUUAUGGACUGUUGCUCUGGCAACAGCUGUGCAGUAAGCUCUGAUAUACAGUCAGUAAACUGGGUGUAACAGGAUGGGCAAUUCUGAAGCAAUUUAAAUGGACUAAAAAAUGAUGGAUUAACAAAAAAAGAAGUGCAAUUAAAAUGCAAUAUGAAUUAUGAAAAAUCUAUACUAAACCCAGAUUUACUACAAUUAAACCUCUAUUUUUCAUUUUAAAAGUUAUUAAAACUAUACAUGUUUGCUGCUGCUGAAGCACCUUGAGAUACUGAGAUAGAAAACCAGCAUUAGGUAAUGACCACUUCCUUCAGCUAAACACACAUUUUCUAAAUUAUUUAGCUUAACCUAGUUCACAUUCUAGGCUGACAAACUAAUGGGAACUCAAAAAACCCAAAGGAGUCUUGUUUUCAAUUUCAAAGAUAUUAAAAGCGAAGCACAGAACAAGAAUUUCAUUUGUUCCAAAAUAUUCUAGUACACAACCACAGAAAACAAUCAGCUCUGCUGACUAUAGAUGCAAGCUGCAUUGUUUAAAAAAGUUGUUUUAUCAAGUAAUUUUGUGUUUCAAGACAGUUUUAUUUUCUUAUACUUGUAAUACACCUUCAAUAUAAUUUAACUCCCUGAAACUAUUUCAAAUGCUGGCUUUGUGUAUUUAGCUACUUUUUGAUUUCCACCCAAAUAGUUUUUUUUUUUUUUACUUACUGCAAUGUAUCUAUCUAAUACACAAUUAAAAACUGCAACACUUAAAAUCUUCAAACCUAAA